GAUGGCGGACACCGCUGGAAAGGAGCAACUGAAUUGGACUGUCGAGCAGACCUUCGGCCUCAUCAGGUUCUGGACUGAGAAUGAGGAGAAGUUUACAAAAAAAAAAUUUGCCUCCAAAUUGUUAUGGGAGAAAGCAGUGAAAGACCUGGGCCUGGAAGGAAGGAUUACAGGAGAGAAGGCAGGCAAGAAGUGGGAGAAUCUAAAGAAACGUUACAAGG
This is a long non-coding RNA of Xyrauchen texanus (razorback sucker), 218 nucleotides long. RefSeq lists it as uncharacterized. The transcript is spliced from 3 exons. The record is from RefSeq and is a predicted model, not a curated record. NCBI's taxonomy places the organism in Eukaryota, Metazoa, Chordata, Actinopteri, Cypriniformes, Catostomidae.